Molecule: long non-coding RNA, 693 nt
Organism: Nasonia vitripennis (jewel wasp)
Lineage: Eukaryota; Metazoa; Arthropoda; Insecta; Hymenoptera; Pteromalidae
Exons: 3
Source: RefSeq, a predicted model, not a curated record
AAUUAAAUGAUAUUUUUGACAUCUCUCAUAAUAGUUUAUGUGAAUCAAUAAGUGAGUCAGAAAAAAACUCAACCAGUCGAUGACAUGAACCUAAUACGCAUUAAGCAUCAUUAAUUACCAGAUGUACACAAACAAAUAUUCACUGCUAAGGAGGAUGCUGAAAUACUUGAUAGAACUGAAUCUGAAUCUGAAUCUAAAUCUCUGGAGUUUGGCGAACCAGAAUCAGAAAUAUGCCAACCUAGUUUAUCAAUCAAUAAGGUCAUAGUAAUAGCAGGGGAAUAUCAGAAAUCAACCCAAAAACCAUUUAGUAUAGGAUCUCAAUCACAGUCAAGUGAAGUUACAGAUUCUUCACCUCAUCUGCCUAGUUCUGGGUCUGUAUGUUCUGUACCGCAUGCACGAUCAUAUGUAAACCAAUCUGUUAGAGGGUCCAUAGAUGUGAUGACACCAGAAGUAGUAGUAGCUUUUGAUAAAUGCAAGUUUUCUUACAGAAAUUCAGUCUUUAUAAUAGGCACAGUUGCAAAUGCAUUAGGUGUCGAUAUAGAAACUUUAAUACUUAACAAAUCAUCCUUCAACAGAUCGCGGCUGAAAUUCGAAAAAGAAAGCUGUGAAAGUAAAAAGUUGCUGAUGGAUAAAUCCAUACCACAUUUGAUUGUGCACUGGGACGGGAAUCUUAUUCCAGACACGAUAACAUGU